GAUGAACGCUAGCGGGAGGCCUAACACAUGCAAGCCGAGCGGUAUUUGUUCUUCGGAUCUGAGCGAGCGGCGCACGGGUGCGGAACACGUCUGCAACCUGCCUUUCUCUGGGGGAUAGCCUUUCGAAAGGAAGAUUAAUACCCCAUAAUAUAUUUUGUUACAUCAUUUGAUAUUGCAAACUCCUGUGGAUAAAGAUGGGCACGCGCAAGAUUAGGUAGUUGGUGAGGUAACGGAUCACCAAGUCAAUGAUCUUUAGAGGGACUGAGAGGGUGAUCCCCCACACGGGAACGGGGACACGGACCAGACUACUACGGCAGGCAGCAGUGAGGAAUAUUGGGCAACGGGGUAGCGCCUGAUCCAGCGAUCCCGCGUGAAGGACGACGGCCCUAUGGGUUGUAAACUUCUUUUGUAGAGGGAUAAACCUACUCUCGUGAGAGUAGCUGACGGUACUAUACGAAUAAGCACCGGCUAACUCCGUG
This 479-nucleotide ribosomal RNA is filed under the name uncultured bacterium. RNAcentral's name for it is "partial 16S ribosomal RNA". It matches the Rfam family "Bacterial small subunit ribosomal RNA", at positions 28 to 507 of the family's 1533-position model. The record is from RNAcentral.